GGGUUGUGAGGUUAAGCGACUAAGCGUACACGGUGGAUGCCCUGGCAGUCAGAGGCGAUGAAGGACGUGCUAAUCUGCGAUAAGCGUCGGUAAGGUGAUAUGAACCGUUAUAACCGGCGAUUUCCGAAUGGGGAAACCCAGUGUGAUUCGUCACACUAUCAUUAACUGAAUCCAUAGGUUAAUGAGGCGAACCGGGGGAACUGAAACAUCUAAGUACCCCGAGGAAAAGAAAUCAACCGAGAUUCCCCCAGUAGCGGCGAGCGAACGGGGAGGAGCCCAGAGCCUGAAUCAGUGUGUGUGUUAGUGGAAGCGUCUGGAAAGGCGCGCGAUACAGGGUGACAGCCCCGUACACAAAAAUGCACAUAAUGUGAGCUCGAUGAGUAGGGCGGGACACGUGGUAUCCUGUCUGAAUAUGGGGGGACCAUCCUCCAAGGCUAAAUACUCCUGACUGACCGAUAGUGAACCAGUACCGUGAGGGAAAGGCGAAAAGAACCCCGGCGAGGGGAGUGAAAAAGAACCUGAAACCGUGUACGUACAAGCAGUGGGAGCCUCUUUUAUGGGGUGACUGCGUACCUUUUGUAUAAUGGGUCAGCGACUUAUAUUCUGUAGCAAGGUUAACCGAAUAGGGGAGCCGAAGGGAAACCGAGUCUUAACUGGGCGUUAAGUUGCAGGGUAUAGACCCGAAACCCGGUGAUCUAGCCAUGGGCAGGUUGAAGGUUGGGUAACACUAACUGGAGGACCGAACCGACUAAUGUUGAAAAAUUAGCGGAUGACUUGUGGCUGGGGGUGAAAGGCCAAUCAAACCGGGAGAUAGCUGGUUCUCCCCGAAAGCUAUUUAGGUAGCGCCUCGUGAAUUCAUCUCCGGGGGUAGAGCACUGUUUCGGCAAGGGGGUCAUCCCGACUUACCAACCCGAUGCAAACUGCGAAUACCGGAGAAUGUUAUCACGGGAGACACACGGCGGGUGCUAACGUCCGUCGUGAAGAGGGAAACAACCCAGACCGCCAGCUAAGGUCCCAAAGUCAUGGUUAAGUGGGAAACGAUGUGGGAAGGCCCAGACAGCCAGGAUGUUGGCUUAGAAGCAGCCAUCAUUUAAAGAAAGCGUAAUAGCUCACUGGUCGAGUCGGCCUGCGCGGAAGAUGUAACGGGGCUAAACCAUGCACCGAAGCUGCGGCAGCGACGCUUAUGCGUUGUUGGGUAGGGGAGCGUUCUGUAAGCCUGUGAAGGUGUACUGUGAGGUAUGCUGGAGGUAUCAGAAGUGCGAAUGCUGACAUAAGUAACGAUAAAGCGGGUGAAAAGCCCGCUCGCCGGAAGACCAAGGGUUCCUGUCCAACGUUAAUCGGGGCAGGGUGAGUCGACCCCUAAGGCGAGGCCGAAAGGCGUAGUCGAUGGGAAACAGGUUAAUAUUCCUGUACUUGGUGUUACUGCGAAGGGGGGACGGAGAAGGCUAUGUUGGCCGGGCGACGGUUGUCCCGGUUUAAGCGUGUAGGCUGGUUUUCCAGGCAAAUCCGGAAAAUCAAGGCUGAGGCGUGAUGACGAGGCACUACGGUGCUGAAGCAACAAAUGCCCUGCUUCCAGGAAAAGCCUCUAAGCAUCAGGUAACAUCAAAUCGUACCCCAAACCGACACAGGUGGUCAGGUAGAGAAUACCAAGGCGCUUGAGAGAACUCGGGUGAAGGAACUAGGCAAAAUGGUGCCGUAACUUCGGGAGAAGGCACGCUGAUAUGUAGGUGAAGUCCCUCGCGGAUGGAGCUGAAAUCAGUCGAAGAUACCAGCUGGCUGCAACUGUUUAUUAAAAACACAGCACUGUGCAAACACGAAAGUGGACGUAUACGGUGUGACGCCUGCCCGGUGCCGGAAGGUUAAUUGAUGGGGUCAGCGCAAGCGAAGCUCUUGAUCGAAGCCCCGGUAAACGGCGGCCGUAACUAUAACGGUCCUAAGGUAGCGAAAUUCCUUGUCGGGUAAGUUCCGACCUGCACGAAUGGCGUAAUGAUGGCCAGGCUGUCUCCACCCGAGACUCAGUGAAAUUGAACUCGCUGUGAAGAUGCAGUGUACCCGCGGCAAGACGGAAAGACCCCGUGAACCUUUACUAUAGCUUGACACUGAACAUUGAGCCUUGAUGUGUAGGAUAGGUGGGAGGCUUAGAAGUGUGGACGCCAGUCUGCAUGGAGCCGACCUUGAAAUACCACCCUUUAAUGUUUGAUGUUCUAACGUUGACCCGUAAUCCGGGUUGCGGACAGUGUCUGGUGGGUAGUUUGACUGGGGCGGUCUCCUCCUAAAGAGUAACGGAGGAGCACGAAGGUUGGCUAAUCCUGGUCGGACAUCAGGAGGUUAGUGCAAUGGCAUAAGCCAGCUUGACUGCGAGCGUGACGGCGCGAGCAGGUGCGAAAGCAGGUCAUAGUGAUCCGGUGGUUCUGAAUGGAAGGGCCAUCGCUCAACGGAUAAAAGGUACUCCGGGGAUAACAGGCUGAUACCGCCCAAGAGUUCAUAUCGACGGCGGUGUUUGGCACCUCGAUGUCGGCUCAUCACAUCCUGGGGCUGAAGUAGGUCCCAAGGGUAUGGCUGUUCGCCAUUUAAAGUGGUACGCGAGCUGGGUUUAGAACGUCGUGAGACAGUUCGGUCCCUAUCUGCCGUGGGCGCUGGAGAACUGAGGGGGGCUGCUCCUAGUACGAGAGGACCGGAGUGGACGCAUCACUGGUGUUCGGGUUGUCAUGCCAAUGGCACUGCCCGGUAGCUAAAUGCGGAAGAGAUAAGUGCUGAAAGCAUCUAAGCACGAAACUUGCCCCGAGAUGAGUUCUCCCUGACUCCUUGAGAGUCCUGAAGGAACGUUGAAGACGACGACGUUGAUAGGCCGGGUGUGUAAGCGCAGCGAUGCGUUGAGCUAACCGGUACUAAUGAACCGUGAGGCUUAACCUUACAACGCCGAAGCUGUU
This 2930-nucleotide ribosomal RNA is filed under the name Escherichia coli. RNAcentral's name for it is "23S ribosomal RNA". It matches the Rfam family "Bacterial large subunit ribosomal RNA". Lineage: Bacteria; Pseudomonadati; Pseudomonadota; Gammaproteobacteria; Enterobacterales; Enterobacteriaceae. The record is from RNAcentral.